This 388-nucleotide ribosomal RNA is filed under the name uncultured bacterium. RNAcentral's name for it is "bacterial SSU rRNA". It matches the Rfam family "Bacterial small subunit ribosomal RNA", at positions 29 to 417 of the family's 1533-position model. The record is from RNAcentral.
AUUAAACGCUGGCGGCAUGCCUUACACAUGCAAGUCGAACGGCAGCACGGGGGCAACCCUGGUGGCGAGUGGCGGACGGGUGAGUAACACAUCGGAACGUGCCCUGGAGUGGGGGAUAACGCAGCGAAAGCUACGCUAAUACCGCAUAUUCUGUGAGCAGGAAAGCAGGGGAUCGCAAGACCUUGCGCUUUGGGAGCGGCCGAUGUCGGAUUAGCUAGUUGGUGGGGUAAAGGGCUUACCAAGGCGACGAUCCGUAGCGGGUCUGAGAGGAUGAUCCGCCACACUGGGACUGAGACACGGCCCAGACUCCUACAGGAGGCAGCAGUGGGGUAUUUUGGACAAUGGGCGGAAGCCUGAUCCAGCCAUGCCGCGUGAGUGAAGAAGGCCU